CUGAGAGGAUGACCAGCCACACUGGAACUGAGACACGGUCCAGACUCCUACGGGAGGCAGCAGUGGGGAAUAUUGCACAAUGGGCGCAAGCCUGAUGCAGCCAUGCCGCGUGUAUGAAGAAGGCCUUCGGGUUGUAAAGUACUUUCAGCGGGGAGGAAGGGAGUAAAGUUAAUACCUUUGCUCAUUGACGUUACCCGCAGAAGAAGCACCGGCUAACUCCGUGCCAGCAGCCGCGGUAAUACGGAGGGUGCAAGCGUUAAUCGGAAUUACUGGGCGUAAAGCGCACGCAGGCGGUUUGUUAAGUCAGAUGUGAAAUCCCCGGGCUCAACCUGGGAACUGCAUCUGAUACUGGCAAGCUUGAGUCUCGUAGAGGGGGGUAGAAUUCCAGGUGUAGCGGUGAAAUGCGUAGAGAUCUG
RNAcentral lists this ribosomal RNA (416 nucleotides) under Escherichia coli. RNAcentral describes it as "bacterial SSU rRNA". It matches the Rfam family "Bacterial small subunit ribosomal RNA", at positions 292 to 700 of the family's 1533-position model. Lineage: Bacteria; Pseudomonadati; Pseudomonadota; Gammaproteobacteria; Enterobacterales; Enterobacteriaceae. The record is from RNAcentral.